Molecule: long non-coding RNA, 1689 nt
Organism: Oryzias melastigma (Indian medaka)
Lineage: Eukaryota; Metazoa; Chordata; Actinopteri; Beloniformes; Adrianichthyidae
Exons: 3
Source: RefSeq, a predicted model, not a curated record
CACCUCCAGGCUGGUGGUUCUGAUAACAUCUGUGUCGGGCUGCAGAAAUUCCUCUCCCUCCUGAGGCCGCCUGUGUUCGGGGGUGUUAACACGCCGUGUAAUCACGCCGCGGCUGUGAAUGUCGUUAGCCGUCCUCUGGGCUGCUGAAGGAAGUGGAGCGUGCAGAGUUCUCUGCUUUUCAUUCAUGAUUUCCCUCUGAAGUCUUCAUCAAAGAGAAUCGGCACAGCGGUGCAGCGAAGCCGCCCAGGUAUCCGACAACAUGAAACAGCUAUGAUCGCUCGCUAAUGAGUUGUGGAAGCUAGUCGUGCGUUUUCCUCCACUUUAGUUUGUCAAGGUAACGCUGCUGAGCGGCGCCACGAGCGAUGACCUGGCAAUCGGUCGUCCUUUCCUUCCCUCACACCCGCUCCCAGACUUCCCCUCUCAUAACCAAGCAACCUUCUCUGUUGGCCCAAGAUUUAUGAUGCAGCAGAGCCGUUCUCCUUGAGGUCCAAAGGGAGAAGCGGUGGAAAGGGCGCUCUAGCAAGCCGUCCUCUGACGCACCACCCACACGCUCCAAAGCGGUAUAAAUCACAGAAACUCUUCUGCCCUUUCUCAUCGCCGCCAUUUGUCUUCAUCUUUGCUCAAUUAGAAAGAAUAAUGGUCGGGGGAACGGCGUCCAAGUUGACACUCGGUUACGGAGAGCGCAGGGCUGUGGCCUGAAAUGACAGAGCGGGGACCCUCGUUUACCUCUGACAAAUGGAGAUGAUUCUCUAUCAGGCACCUGCUCCUGACCAGGAGGUGCAGCAAUGCUAUGCUGAAAAACUAAUGAGAGCUGAAUGGAUUUAUUGAUCCAACUUGUGUCUGCUGAAAAAGGCAACCAUGACAUCAGAAAUAGAAACGUCCUUUUGCUCGGCGUGAGAGUGGGCAGGCAUCCCUGAGAUCACUCAGCUGUGCACGAAGCCACAGUUUCCCCUGAAUGGAGGACGGGUACGGAGAAUGACCAGAGCUUCAUCUGUCAAACUGAGCGCCACAUCUGAAGGACGGCCCAAGGCGAAGCCUUUGACGGCGUCUCUCCUUUGAAAACUGCAGCUGAAAUGUAAAUGAGGUGGUCAAAGAAAGCCUGUUAUGAAAAUGGAAAGACGUUCAGUGAAAGGAACACUUUUAGAAGUCUGUUUCUUUGUGAUGGCAUCUGGGGGUAUUUUAUUAUGACAUUACCCACCUUAAAUACAGAUUUGGAAUUCAUCGGCCCGUCUGGCUGAACGUCAGAGAUGAACGACAAGCUGCUGAGUCCAAUAAAAAAAACUGAAACCCUUCGUCUCCCAUCAACUGAAAUUUAUAUCCAGUCCUGACGCUGAGCAGUGUGUGGCAAGUACAUGAUGCAAUGAAGGACACUUCACUGAAAAGAAAAUUGGAUUUCUGCGGAUGAAUGACUGCAGGCUCCGAGAGCAGCCGCUCUGCCUUUUUCAGACAUGUUAAUGGCGGGAAUCCAGAAAUGUGAAGUCGGCAUGUUCAGUGGUCAGUCAGAGGCAGUCAUGACUCACUGACUCAAAUCCUCCCCACUUUGGUGAUUAAAUCACACACAGCGAGCUGAGGUUUGUGUUUUUGAGUGAGUCAUCCACUGCAGGGAAGCAGAUGGAUUUUCCCACCAUCGUCCCCUCUAAACGAUUCCUUCAAAUACUUUAAAAUAUUGUUUUUAUUUUGGUUAAGACA